CUACGGGGGGCAGCAGUGGGGAAUAUUGCACAAUGGAGGAAACUCUGAUGCAGCAACGCCGCGUGGAGGAUGACACUUUUCGGAGCGUAAACUCCUUUUAUAUAGGAAGAUAAUGACGGUACUAUAUGAAUAAGCACCGGCUAACUCCGUGCCAGCAGCCGCGGUAAUACGGAGGGUGCAAGCGUUACUCGGAAUCACUGGGCGUAAAGAGCGUGUAGGCGGGUUAAUAAGUCAGAAGUGAAAUCCUAUGGCUCAACCAUAGAACUGCUUUUGAAACUGUUAACCUAGAGUGUGGGAGAGGUAGAUGGAAUUUCUGGUGUAGGGGUAACAUCCGUAGAGAUCAGAAGGAAUACCGAUUGCGAAGGCGAUCUACUGGAACAUAACUGACGCUGAGACGCGAAAGCGUGGGGAGCAAACAGGAUUAGAUACCCCGGUAGUC
Molecule: ribosomal RNA, 439 nt
Filed under: uncultured bacterium
Lineage: Bacteria
Description: partial 16S ribosomal RNA
Rfam family: Bacterial small subunit ribosomal RNA
Source: RNAcentral